Molecule: ribosomal RNA, 70 nt
Filed under: Peltigera ponojensis
Lineage: Eukaryota; Fungi; Ascomycota; Lecanoromycetes; Peltigerales; Peltigeraceae
Description: partial 18S ribosomal RNA
Source: RNAcentral
UUUGGUUUCAGCUACGUAGUGACCUGCGGAGGAUCAUUAAUGAGGGCGUGUGGGCUAACAUCCCCACGAA